CCAGACUCCUACGGGAGGCAGCAGUGGGGGAUAUUGCACAAUGGGGGAAACCCUGAUGCAGCGACGCCGCGUGUGGGAAGACGGUCCUCUGGAUUGUAAACCACUGUCCCCAGGGACGAAGAUGACGGUACCUGGGGAGGAAGCUCCGGCUAACUACGUGCCAGCAGCCGCGGUAAUACGUAGGGGGCAAGCGUUAUCCGGAUUCACUGGGUGUAAAGGGAGCGUAGACGGCGACGCAAGUCUGGAGUGAAAGCCCGGGGCCCAACCCCGGGACUGCUCUGGAAACUGCGUCGCUGGAGUACGGGAGGGGCAGGCGGAAUUCCUGGUGUAGCGGUGAAAUGCGUAGAUAUUAGGAGGAACACCAGUGGCGAAGGCGGCCUGCUGGACGACAACUGACGGUGAGGCGCGAAAGCGUGGGGAGCAAACAGGAUUAGAUACCCUUGUA
RNAcentral lists this ribosomal RNA (445 nucleotides) under uncultured bacterium. RNAcentral describes it as "bacterial SSU rRNA". It matches the Rfam family "Bacterial small subunit ribosomal RNA", at positions 331 to 792 of the family's 1533-position model. The record is from RNAcentral.